RNAcentral lists this ribosomal RNA (232 nucleotides) under uncultured bacterium. Its description in RNAcentral is "partial 16S ribosomal RNA". It matches the Rfam family "Bacterial small subunit ribosomal RNA", at positions 102 to 334 of the family's 1533-position model. The record is from RNAcentral.
CACGGGUGAGUAACACGUAUCCAACCUGCCGUCUACUCUUGGCCAGCCUUCUGAAGGAAGAUUAAUACAAGAUGGCAUCAUGAGUCCGCAUGUUCACAUGAUUAAAGGUAUUCCGGUAGACGAUAGGGAUGCGUUCCAUUAGAUAGUAGGCGGGGUAACGGCCCACCUAGUCUUCGAUGGAUAGGGGUUCUGAGAGGAAGGUCCCCCACAUUGGAACUGAGACACGGUCCAA